GACGAACGCUGGCGGCGUGCUUAACACAUGCAAGUCGAACGGAAAGGCCCUGCUUUUGUGGGGUGCUCGAGUGGCGAACGGGUGAGUAACACGUGAGUAACCUGCCCUUGACUUUGGGAUAACUUCAGGAAACUGGGGCUAAUACCGGAUAGGAGCUCCUGCUGCAUGGUGGGGGUUGGAAAGUUUCGGCGGUUGGGGAUGGACUCGCGGCUUAUCAGCUUGUUGGUGGGGUAGUGGCUUACCAAGGCUUUGACGGGUAGCCGGGCUGAGAGGGUGACCGGCCACAUUGGGACUGAGAUACGGCCCAGACUCCUACGGGAGGCAGCAGUGGGGUAUAUUGCACAAUGGGCGGAAGCCUGAUGCAGCAACGCCGCGUGCGGGAUGACGGCCUUCGGGUUGUAAACCGCUUUCGCCUGUGACGAAGCGUGAGUGACGGUAAUGGGUAAAGAAGCACCGGCUAACUACGUG
This 468-nucleotide ribosomal RNA is filed under the name uncultured bacterium. RNAcentral's name for it is "partial 16S ribosomal RNA". It matches the Rfam family "Bacterial small subunit ribosomal RNA", at positions 28 to 507 of the family's 1533-position model. The record is from RNAcentral.